Long non-coding RNA from Pistacia vera, 1323 nucleotides. RefSeq lists it as uncharacterized. Lineage: Eukaryota; Viridiplantae; Streptophyta; Magnoliopsida; Sapindales; Anacardiaceae. The transcript is spliced from 7 exons. The record is from RefSeq and is a predicted model, not a curated record.
UUAAAAAAAAAAAAAAUUUCCUUACAAACCUUGGGUUCAAAUUUCAUUUUCCUAGAGCAAAUCCUAAAUCAAUUCCGUUUUCCCUAAAAAUUUUCCCAAAUUUCCUUUCAAUUUUUAGAACCCUAGCCACCACAUUCCCCAAUCUCAAGCGAACCACAGCCGCACCAAGUCGACCUCCUCGCCAACUCUGUUGGGGAUUCAUCCGUAAGGUCUAUGGAAUUUUGACCACCUAGAUCGUGUUGACCGCUUUGGUUUCCUCCGUCACCGUUCUUUACUCUCCCAUCAAAGACCUCCUUAGGGACAAUUCCGGCCUUCUCCUUUUCCUCUCCCUCCUCCCCUUCAUCCAUCCUGCUGCCAGCGCAGAUCUUGUUUUGGUUUAGGGUGCAGGAAGGAUUAACUCACAGCUUGCUUAUUGGUAAUGAAAUGGUAAGCUCUGCUUCCUUUAAUUCUUCCAAUUAUAUACUUCAUUGCCUAUUAGAGAAAUUCUUCUAUGGCAACAUCAUUGAUUGAUGGAGAAUCAAAGCCAAAGCAUGUGCUUCUCUUUGACAUAAAGGUUUUUAUUGUAAAAAAACAACCUUAAUUUGUCUUUUUAACUGGAGGUGUUUGAAGAAAUGUUAGCAAUUGUGGAUGUUCGCAAUUGUGGGUAUUUGGGUUACUGGGGUUACCAUAGCUAGCUGGGGCUUGGUAAAAAUUAAGAUUUUUUUUAAAGGUUUCAUAGAGAGAUUUAAAAGAAGAUUGCUGACAAAUCAAGAUCAAAUUACCAUUGCUCAGAGUUAAGGUAGGAUUGUGCUCGAAGCACUAAUUCUAACCUCAGUUGUAGUGUGCUCUUUAAUUGAGUACAGUUUAUAGGCCUCUAACAAGGACAAGGACUUCAGCUUCUUUGAACCAAUUAUAUUCACCAGCCUCAUUAUCCUCUUCCUGACUGCUUUAUGUGGUCUUUCUCCAGCUUGCCGGAUAGCUUGGCCAGUUUCUGUUGCAGUUGCAGAAUUUGAGAAGCUACAGUCUUUCUCUAGUUUGUGCAGAAUUUGAGAGGCUGCUGAAUUUGAAAAAUUCAGAAUUUGUGCAGUCUUUCUCCAGUUGAUGAAUUUGAGGAGCUGCAGAAAAGCUGCUGUUUAGGAUGGAACUUGUUAAAUUGGACUUGCUAUCUAGGAUGUUAGGAUGGAAUUUGAGGAUGUUAAGACUUAGGAUGGAAUAGUCUGUUUAGGAUGAAACUGGAGAAAAAAUCAGCUGUGAUGAUAUCUUUCAUGAACUUUUAUUUUCUUUCAUGUGAUUAAAUAUGGUUUCCAUAUAUAUAUUUGCACAUAAUUAGUAAUACAAUUCAAA